RNAcentral lists this long non-coding RNA (249 nucleotides) under Mytilus galloprovincialis (Mediterranean mussel). Lineage: Eukaryota; Metazoa; Mollusca; Bivalvia; Mytilida; Mytilidae. The record is from RNAcentral.
AAACAAAGAGCAUGGAUUAGUAAAAUAGUUUAAAAGAGGGGGUAGGGGCCUAUUUAAAGAAAAAUAUACUCAUCUUUCCAUGUGCUUCUUCUGUUAUUCCCUGUCUUCUCAUGGGGUUCCCCACAUCUGAAAGAAAAACAGAAAGCAUGGAUUAGUAAAAUAGUUUAAAAGAGGGGGUAGGGGCCUAUUUAAAGAAAAAUAUACUCAUCUUUCCAUGUGCUUCUUCUGUUAUCUGCUUCCUUCUCUGGG